UGCGUAUUAGCUCAGUUGGUAGAGCAUCUGACUGUUAAUCAGAGUGUCGUCAGUUCGAGCCUGACAUACGCAG
Molecule: transfer RNA, 73 nt
Filed under: Companilactobacillus farciminis
Lineage: Bacteria; Bacillati; Bacillota; Bacilli; Lactobacillales; Lactobacillaceae
Description: tRNA-Asn
Rfam family: tRNA
About the family: Transfer RNA (tRNA) molecules are approximately 80 nucleotides in length. Their secondary structure includes four short double-helical elements and three loops (D, anti-codon, and T loops). Further hydrogen bonds mediate the characteristic L-shaped molecular structure. tRNAs have two regions of fundamental functional importance: the anti-codon, which is responsible for specific mRNA codon recognition, and the 3' end, to which the tRNAs corresponding amino acid is attached (by aminoacyl-tRNA synthetases). tRNAs cope with the degeneracy of the genetic code in two manners: having more than one tRNA (with a specific anti-codon) for a particular amino acid; and 'wobble' base-pairing, i.e. permitting non-standard base-pairing at the 3rd anti-codon position.
Source: RNAcentral